UACCAGCACCCCGAGCGGUCGGGACGAUUAUUGGGCCUAAAGCAUCCGUAGCCGGUUUUACAAGUCCUCCGUUAAAUCCAGCUGCUUAACAGAUGGGCUGCGGAGGAUACUAUAAGACUAGGAGGCAGGAGAGGCAAGCGGUACUCAGUGGGUAGGGGUAAAAUCCGUUGAUCCAUUGAAGACCACCAGUGGCGAAGGCGGCUUGCCGGAAUGCGCUCGACGGUGAGGGAUGAAAGCUGGGGGAGCAAACCGG
Molecule: ribosomal RNA, 253 nt
Filed under: uncultured bacterium
Lineage: Bacteria
Description: partial 16S ribosomal RNA
Rfam family: Archaeal small subunit ribosomal RNA
Source: RNAcentral